CACAAACCAAUUUCCGCACUUCUGGAGCAGGGUCGUUGGCAAGAAGAAACAAGCCUUGAAGGUAUUUAUCCAUGGAUAGAUGCAAAAUUUUAGGCAUCAGCAUUAUAUAUUGAUUCACAGAACUCAAUGACAGUUUUCUGAGAGAAGCAUGAGGCGACUGGAAAAGCAGGAGAAACCUUGGAAGGAAAACAGUAAUGGGUCGUUCAGAUAAUCCAGAAAUAUCAGAAUCAAGGAGUUGUGGGACAUCCUCGCAGAUCUUUGAUAAAGCAUCCAUGGCUCCUUCCACAUGGUUUACAUCACUACUAUCCAAGCUACUAACAAGUGCCUGUAGCAACUCUGGCCAUCCAGCAACUCCGUCUAUCUGUACAAGAACACUAAUGAUGGUUCCAGCUGUGGACCUAAUGUGUCUAUCUGCUGCCCCUAGAGAAGGUAGCAACUCUGACUUUAUGUAUUGCUGGUUAGCAAGAGGCAUGUUUUGGAAUGCAGAUCUCAGGUUAUUUUUCAAUAGCAACCCAGCUGCUUGCCGAAUGUCAACUGACUUUCCCUCGGCAUGAGCGAAGAUGAAAGCGAGAUAGUUAUUGAAAUCUGGAAACUGAGAGUAGUGUUGAAGUUGUUGCCAAAUCUGAGAAUUAUCUGAAGUCGGAGACAUUUGUUGCUCCAACAAUCCACAGAUCUCCUUGAAACCUUGUUCUUGUG
Molecule: unclassified non-coding RNA, 696 nt
Filed under: Hevea brasiliensis (rubber tree)
Lineage: Eukaryota; Viridiplantae; Streptophyta; Magnoliopsida; Malpighiales; Euphorbiaceae
Source: RNAcentral